Nicotiana tabacum (common tobacco) is the source of this 2101-nucleotide long non-coding RNA. RefSeq lists it as uncharacterized. Lineage: Eukaryota; Viridiplantae; Streptophyta; Magnoliopsida; Solanales; Solanaceae. The record is from RefSeq and is a predicted model, not a curated record.
UGUUUUUUCUAAUCUUUUCAACUUCCAAAUCAAAAAAGUUGGGGUUCUACCAAGAGAUUAAAAAACCCUAGAUGAAAAGAGGCGUACCAACUCCUUCCUCUCCAGUAACAAAAACACUAUUUUCCACCAUUAAAGAGCCUUCUUACUCAAUUGAAAACCAAUAGCUUUUCUCCAUGAAAGUUGUUCUCAAACUCCAGUUCCAAAACACCCCAAACUUCAACUACAAAACUCCAUUAAACUCCUAUAAAAAUCAGCGAAAAUCAGCUCCCAAAACCCCCUUUUACACCAAUAGUGGGAGAUAAGUGGUUGUGAGGAAAGCUGGGUUGAACUUAGGAGGGAGGAAAGCGAAAGCAGAGAAGAUGUUUGGGUUAAUGGAUGAGUUCUUGAAGAAUGAUGCAGUUAGUUUACAAAAAGAUAUUCUUGAUCAUGUUGAAUUUACUGUUGCUCGAUCAAGAUUCAAUUUUGAUGAUUUUGAAGCUUAUCAGGUACUCCCAUUUCCCGAUUUAUUUGACAUUUGUUCAAAGGUGUAAAAAUUGCACAACAUACUCAUUUUUGGCAUUUGGGUCUCGUUUAACUGCAUCAUCCCUUAUUCUUGAUUUGAUUAUUUGUUGGAAUAGAGUCAUGUUUCACUUACUGCUAGAAUUAUACCCUUAUUAAGAAGAAAAUCUUCAUGUCUACAGUAGAGCUACAGUAGAAGAAAAUUCAGUGACUUUUUUCGAGACCCUGUAUUUGUAAUUAGAACCCAUACACUUAUAAUCCUAACUCCGCCUCUGUUGGCAUUAGUAUACCACCAGAGACUACUCGUCAAUUGUGUGUUCAAUCCUCUGUUGUGAAUGAUUUUCUCUCCACAAAGCCAUUUGGAGAGCAUAUCUUAGAUCAUUUUACUGUUUUACCUCAACACGAAGUCAAAUGAGGUUGUGGCCAAGUGACAUCAAACACAUCACCAAAGCCUUUCCAUUGCUUAGGGUUUUGGACUUUGACUCCGGUCAUCUAGUAAUUUUCUCCAAAGAGUUUUUCCAGUUAUUUCUAUUGAGAUAUAUUGCUAUCUCAGGUGACAUCUCAGGUGACUUCAAGGUUAUUCCUGUACCCUUAGGUAAAUUCUUAUAUUUACAAACUCUUAUACUUAAUACAUCAAAUUCCACCCUUGAGAUAAAAGCAAAUAUAUGGAAGUUGUUGCGGUUGAGGCAUCUUCACACCAACGUCCCUGCAGAAUUGCCGCCACCUCCUAUCCCAACAGGUGAAGCCUUCUUGCCUACAAACUCUUUCUCUGAUUACACCGAAAAGUUGCACGAAAGAUAUCUUUGCAAAAGCUUGUAAUCUUAAAAAGAUGGGUAUACGAGGGAAUAUGGAGACUUUCGUUGAAUCUAGCAAGGGUGGAUGGCAAAAUCUUGAAGAGCUUAAGUGCCUGGAACAUUUGAUAAUAUAAAAUGAUAGUUUUUACUCGCGUAAACUUUAUCUUCCUCCAUCAUUCUUCAAGUUUCUAUGCACACUGAAGAAGUUAACUCUGUCUAAGACAAUGUUUGAUUGGAGCGAGGCGGAUAUAUUGGGGCGGUUGGAAUGCCUUGAGGUCCUGAAAUUGAAAGAAAAUGCAUUAGAGAGGAUGUACUGGAAGGUGAAACGAGGUGGUUUUAAUAAACUCCAGGUCUUAAGGAUUGAAGGGGCAGACUUGGAAAAUUGGGAGGCUUCUAAAUAUCAGACACCUUGUUCUUAAAUUUUGUGAAAAUCUUGAAGCAGUGCCAUAUGAGCUGGCUGAUGUACCUAGCCUUGAAGAGAUGAAGCUGGAGAACACAAGAAAAGCAGCCAAAUCAGCGAGAGAAAUAGAGCGCAAGAAACUCAUGAAAAGCAUCAAAUUCAAGCUCACGUUAUCGCCCCCUGAUACUGAAUAGAUGGUCACAUCCAGUUGAAAGGAGAGAUCAAGGUAUGCUGAUGCUGGGAGCUAGGAUCAUGGACAAAUAGAAUACUCUUUGAUAUUGUUGAAAGACAUGUUAUUCCUUUUCUUCUUCUUUUUUCUUGCUUUGAAAUAAAAGUCAUUCCAACUAGAUAAACUACUACAAGUCUUGUUUGUUUCUCAUUAUUUUGAAUGGACGGUUUCACUCAAGUC